RNAcentral lists this ribosomal RNA (546 nucleotides) under Triticum aestivum (bread wheat). RNAcentral describes it as "partial small subunit ribosomal RNA". Lineage: Eukaryota; Viridiplantae; Streptophyta; Magnoliopsida; Poales; Poaceae. The record is from RNAcentral.
AUGUGGAAGUUCACUAAGGAUGGGAUUUACUCUGCUUCAUCGGCAUACAAGGCACAAUUUGAAGGUCUCAUAUCCUCUGAUCUUGUCAAGUCUGUGUGGAGGGUCUGGGCUCCCCCGAGGUGCAAAUUCUUUUCUUGGCUCGUUCUUCAAAACAGAAUAUGGGCAUCAGACCGCUUGAUCCGUCGUGGCUGGCCCAACUGCGGCUUGUGUCCCCUUUGUAAGCAAGCACAGGAGUCCGCUGCUCACCCACUCUUCCAAUGCCGUUUCACAUUGCGCAUUUGGAAUGACAUUCUUCUGUGGCUUGGAAUGCACCACAUCUCUACUACUACAUGGACGGUGAGCGCUUCGGUCAAAGAAUGGUGGGACAGCAACCUUCAGAUUCGUCUCGGCUCUCCCAAAGCCCUUGCCUCAUUGAUGAUGCUCAUCUCUUGGGAGGUUUGGUCCGAGAGAAACGCUAGAGUCUUCCGCAACGUGGCGGUUCCAUCGGUGGCAACAAGAUCAAGCAUGAGGCGUGGCUUUGGGCUUUGGCGGGUGCCAAGCACUUGA